This 82-nucleotide transfer RNA is filed under the name Parageobacillus thermantarcticus. Its description in RNAcentral is "tRNA_Leu_TAG". It matches the Rfam family "tRNA". Rfam says of the family: Transfer RNA (tRNA) molecules are approximately 80 nucleotides in length. The record is from RNAcentral. Lineage: Bacteria; Bacillati; Bacillota; Bacilli; Caryophanales; Anoxybacillaceae.
GCGGGUGUGGCGGAAUUGGCAGACGCACCAGACUUAGGAUCUGGCGCCUUUUGGCGUGGGGGUUCAAGUCCCUCCACCCGCA